UUAACCUACGGGAGGCAGCAGUGAGGAAUAUUGGUCAAUGGGCGGGAGCCUGAACCAGCCAAGUCGCGUGAGGGAAGACGGUCCUACGGAUUGUAAACCUCUUUUGCCGGGAAGCAACGGGGUCCUUGCGAGGGCCCGAUGAGAGUACCCGGAGAAAAAGCAUCGGCUAACUCCGUGCCAGCAGCCGCGGUAAUACGGAGGAUGCGAGCGUUAUCCGGAUUUAUUGGGUUUAAAGGGUGCGCAGGCGGAAGAUCAGGUCAGCGGUAAAAUUGAGAGGCUCAACCUCUUCGAGCCGUUGAAACUGG
Molecule: ribosomal RNA, 305 nt
Filed under: uncultured bacterium
Lineage: Bacteria
Description: bacterial SSU rRNA
Rfam family: Bacterial small subunit ribosomal RNA
Source: RNAcentral